GCGUACCUUUUGUAUAAUGGGUCAGCGACUUAUAUUCUGUAGCAAGGUUAACCGUAUAGGGGAGCCGGAGGGAAACCGAGUCUUAACCGGGCGUUAAGUUGCAGGGUAUAGACCCGAAACCCGGUGAUCUAGCCAUGGGCAGGUUGAAGGUUGGGUAACACUAACUGGAGGACCGAACCGACUAAUGUUGAAAAAUUAGCGGAUGACCUGUGGCUGGGGGUGAAAGGCCAAUCAAACCGGGAGAUAGCUGGUUCUCCCCGAAAGCUAUUUAGGUAGCGCCUCGUGAAUUCAUCUCCGGGGGUAGAGCACUGUUUCGGCUAGGGGGCCAUCCCGGCUUACCAACCCGAUGCAAACUGCGAAUACCGGAGAAUGUUAUCACGGGAGACACACGGCGGGUGCUAACGUCCGUCGUGAAGAGGGAAACAACCCAGACCGCCAGCUAAGGUCCCAAAGUCAUGGUUAAGUGGGAAACGAUGUGGGAAGGCCCAGACAGCCAGGAUGUUGGCUUAGAAGCAGCCAUCAUUUAAAGAAAGCGUAAUAGCUCACUGGUCGAGUCGGCCUGCGCGGAAGAUGUAACGGGGCUAAACCAUGCACCGAAGCUGCGGCAGCGACGCUGAUGCGUUGUUGGGUAGGGGAGCGUUCUGUAAGCCUGCGAAGGUGGCCUGUGAGGGUUGCUGGAGGUAUCAGAAGUGCGAAUGCUGACAUAAGUAACGAUAAAGCGGGUGAAAAGCCCGCUCGCCGGAAGACCAAGGGUUCCUGUCCAACGUUAAUCGGGGCAGGGUGAGUCGACCCCUAAGGCGAGGCCGAAAGGCGUAGUCGAUGGGAAACGGGUUAAUAUUCCCGUACUUGGUGUUACUGCGAAGGGGGGACGGAGAAGGCUAUGUUGGCCGGGCGACGGUUGUCCCGGUUUAAGCGUGUAGGUGUGUGUUCCAGGUAAAUCCGGUU
RNAcentral lists this ribosomal RNA (945 nucleotides) under Salmonella enterica subsp. enterica serovar Sandiego. RNAcentral's name for it is "partial 23S ribosomal RNA". It matches the Rfam family "Bacterial large subunit ribosomal RNA", at positions 599 to 1547 of the family's 2925-position model. Lineage: Bacteria; Pseudomonadati; Pseudomonadota; Gammaproteobacteria; Enterobacterales; Enterobacteriaceae. The record is from RNAcentral.